GAAAACACUUAAGAUCUACUGUCUUAGCGAAUAUCAAGUACCCUUAACUAUAGCUGCGAUUCUGGACAUUCAAAACUCUUCUUUGUGUUUUUCAGAUGUUCUGACAUCUGGGCAAUGGAUGCCUUUUACCUGUCAAUGUAAUACUUAGUUUUCAAGGAAGGAAAUUUGGGGUACCUCAACCUGAUCUGCUCAUCGUAAUGCCUUGGCUUCAAAUUACAGAAGUUAUUAGACCAACAUGUUUCAGUGGACCGGAUUUCAUCACCAAGUUGAUUACAAGGAAAUUGAUGCUUCUCCAAACACUGAAACUUCCCUGGCACAGAUGAACAAGAAGAGCCUCUACACUGAAAACUCCAGUGAUCAAUUUUGUCCUCAGCUCC
This 377-nucleotide long non-coding RNA is filed under the name Mustela putorius furo (domestic ferret). RNAcentral describes it as "lncRNA (ENSMPUG00000026417.1)". The record is from RNAcentral. Lineage: Eukaryota; Metazoa; Chordata; Mammalia; Carnivora; Mustelidae.